This 250-nucleotide unclassified non-coding RNA is filed under the name Hevea brasiliensis (rubber tree). Lineage: Eukaryota; Viridiplantae; Streptophyta; Magnoliopsida; Malpighiales; Euphorbiaceae. The record is from RNAcentral.
GAGAAACAAAGAAAGAAAGAAAAUUUUCACAUUUCAAUAUUCAAAAUUCACAGAUAUGACCAGAAAUGGGGCAGCUUCAAUAUUUUAAAUCAAAUUCCACUUUAAACAACUUGUUGAUAAAGAAACGUACUUGGGUGUAUUGGGUUAGACAUUUAUUUAGAAGCAAUAUCCAUUGAACUUAACAUUACUUUAUUCUUAUGAAAAAGCAUUUUUUGUUUCAACAUGAUCUCCUUUUGGUCAUUUCAAAUUG